CCUACGGGCGGCAGCAGUGAGGAAUAUUGGUCAAUGGACGAGAGUCUGAACCAGCCAAGUAGCGUGAAGGAUGACUGCCCUAUGGGUUGUAAACUUCUUUUAUAUGGGAAUAAAACGUUCCACGUGUGGGAUUUUGUAUGUACCAUAUGAAUAAGGAUCGGCUAACUCCGUGCCAGCAGCCGCGGUAAUACGGAGGAUCCGAGCGUUAUCCGGAUUUAUUGGGUUUAAAGGGAGCGUAGGUGGAUUGUUAAGUCAGUUGUGAAAGUUUGCGGCUCAACCGUAAAAUUGCAGUUGAAACUGGCAGUCUUGAGUACAGUAGAGGUGGGCGGAAUUCGUGGUGUAGCGGUGAAAUGCUUAGAUAUCGCGAAGAACUCCGAUUGCGAAGGCAGUUCACUGGACUGCAACUGACACUGAGGCUCGAAAGUGUGGGUAUCAAACAGGAUUAGAUACCCCUGUAGUC
RNAcentral lists this ribosomal RNA (460 nucleotides) under uncultured bacterium. RNAcentral describes it as "partial 16S ribosomal RNA". It matches the Rfam family "Bacterial small subunit ribosomal RNA", at positions 338 to 795 of the family's 1533-position model. The record is from RNAcentral.